CCCUUAGAUGUUCUGGGCCACACGCGCGCUACACUGUUUGAUUCAGCGAGUCUUAACCUUGACCGAAAGGUUUGGGUAAUCUUCUAAAGUCAAACGUGAUGGGGAUCGAUCAUUGCAAUUAUUGAUCGUGAACGAGGAAUUCCUAGUAAAUGCAAGUCAUCAGCUUGCGUUGAUUACGUCCCUGCCCUUUGUACACACCGCCCGUCGCUACUACCGAUUGAAUGGUUUAGUGAGAUCUCCGGAUUGGCUCUGUAGGUCCCGCAAGGGAUUUAUUAGUAGCCAAGAAGCUGCUCAAACUUGAUCAUUUAGAGGAAGUAAAAGUCGUAACA
RNAcentral lists this ribosomal RNA (329 nucleotides) under uncultured eukaryote. RNAcentral describes it as "partial 18S ribosomal RNA". It matches the Rfam family "Eukaryotic small subunit ribosomal RNA", at positions 1470 to 1796 of the family's 1831-position model. The record is from RNAcentral.